Pan troglodytes (chimpanzee) is the source of this 549-nucleotide long non-coding RNA. RefSeq lists it as uncharacterized. NCBI's taxonomy places the organism in Eukaryota, Metazoa, Chordata, Mammalia, Primates, Hominidae. The record is from RefSeq and is a predicted model, not a curated record. The transcript has 3 exons.
CGCAAGCGCCGCGCAGCCCGGGUUCCCGCCGGCGCCUCUCCCUCGGCGCCUCUCCCUCCACACCUUCCCGCAACGUGAGGGAGCCGGCUCCGGCCUUGGCCAGCCCAGAAAGGGGCUCCCACAGUGCAGCGGUGGGCUGAAGGGCUCCUCAAGCGCGGCCAGAGUGGGCGCCAAGGCGGAGGAGGCCCGGAGAGCGAGCGUGGGCUGUGAGGUCUGCCAACACGCUGUCACGUCUGCCAACACGCUGUCACCUCUCAGUAUCUUCUUAAAGAGGCUUACAAUAGUGGAAUAUGUUGAAUACUGAAGAGACUGAUUCACCUUGCUCUAAAGACCUGUGGCAGACAAACAUUUAAUGUAAGAUCUUUGCAUGGAUGUGUUCUUCAUUUAUCAUGGUACAUUCCUAGGAGUGGAAUUGCUGUGUCAUAUGAGAAGAAUAUAUCCAGGCUGAUCCAUCAAUCCCAGAAGGAGAACAAGAAACACAUGGAGCAGAGCUAAGUUACCCAGCCUAGCUCAGCCUAGAUCAGCAUCCUGUAACAGGCCCCCAGCCUU